UACAUAUAAAUACAUACAUUUCAACCGCGUUUGCAAACAUUUCAGUAACCGGAAGUCGCGUUCUCCCGAGGAAGUAACCAGUACGCCGCUCGAGCGCUUUUCGUUAGGAUGCGUGUGAUCUUAAAGUCUGCGGUUGCUUCACUAAACCUACAUGCUUCUGCAAGGCAUCUUACUUUAUAAGAUCUUCUGUGAAUCGUUUCCAUCAAUGCAUCAGUCAAUCAAUCUUCACCAACACCACACGCCAUCAGCAUCUCUAUUUUGUUGUUUCUUCUAAUGAAAACAGCUCUCCAUGAGAGUUCUGAUGAGUUCGAGUGAUGAAUGAGGACACAGUUUGGUGAGAGUAAGUGAAAAUCACACUCUCUUCCUCCACUCAGCGAC
Molecule: long non-coding RNA, 378 nt
Filed under: Sinocyclocheilus anshuiensis
Lineage: Eukaryota; Metazoa; Chordata; Actinopteri; Cypriniformes; Cyprinidae
Description: lncRNA (ENSSANG00000010695.1)
Source: RNAcentral